Molecule: ribosomal RNA, 427 nt
Filed under: uncultured bacterium
Lineage: Bacteria
Description: partial 16S ribosomal RNA
Rfam family: Bacterial small subunit ribosomal RNA
Source: RNAcentral
UGGGGAAUAAUGGACAAUGGGCGAAAGCCUGAUCCAGCCAUGCCGCGUGUGUGAAGAAGGUCUUCGGAUUGUAAAGCACUUUAAGUUGGGAGGAAGGGCAUUAACCUAAUACGUUAGUGUUUUGACGUUACCGACAGAAUAAGCACCGGCUAACUCUGUGCCAGCAGCCGCGGUAAUACAGAGGGAGCAAGCGUUAAUCGGAAUUACUGGGCGUAAAGCGCGCGUAGGUGGUUUGUUAAGUUGGAUGUGAAAUCCCCGGGCUCAACCUGGGAACUGCAUUCAAAACUGACUGACUAGAGUAUGGUAGAGGGUGGUGGAAUUUCCUGUGUAGCGGUGAAAUGCGUAGAUAUAGGAAGGAACACCAGUGGCGAAGGCGACCACCUGGACUAAUACUGACACUGAGGUGCGAAAGCGUGGGGAGCAAACA